Contarinia nasturtii (swede midge) is the source of this 497-nucleotide long non-coding RNA. RefSeq lists it as uncharacterized. The record is from RefSeq and is a predicted model, not a curated record. Lineage: Eukaryota; Metazoa; Arthropoda; Insecta; Diptera; Cecidomyiidae. The transcript is spliced from 2 exons.
AAAUUGUCGCAAUAAAUAGGUUGGCUGACAGUCACUUUCGCACAUUUUUAUUAGAAUACGUUCUUUACUAUGAAUGUAGUCAAAAAUAUCGUCUUUAUUAUUGUUUUGCUAUUCGUAGUGAAUAUGGUCAUUGUUGAUGCGAGAAGUCAUAGAUUGAAGAAAUUACUCAAAAAAGCUGGAAAACUAACCAAAUCGGUUCAAAGAUUUCAGAAUGCAGCACAAGCUAUUAGAGCUAUUGGAACCGUUGCAACAGUUGCUGCAGCAUAAAUUGAACACGAAAGCGGCUACAAUUUUGUUCACAUAUAUUACGUUGUAAACACAUUUUUAUUUGAAAUGAAGUGUAAUCAUACAUUUUAGUCAGCAAUAUUGGAUUUUCCCACGAUUUUGGACAUUGACAUUUAGUGAAAGCUCAAUUUUUCUCUAAACUGUGGGAAUAUAGUCUUCUUUUAAUAAUCUUCAAAUCAUUUUGUGAUAAAUAAACUCUAUGUAGAACAGUU